GUUUGCGACUUUGAUUGACUUCGAUGAAGCUUCGACAAACCCAGGGUUGUCUGAUCAUUGUGGCCUGUUUCCGAGAGAUUUUUGUACUUGAGAGGUUAAAUGGGUUGUGCUGGAUCGACACAGUCGCAAGGAGAAGGUAUAAACAAUUCUGUUGCUGGUUACAGGAAAGAAGAGCUCUUGAAGAGAAUCUCCAGAAAAAACAGCAACUCUAAAUCAUCACCAAGAACAGCUGAGAAAAAGAGCAAUGAUGGACUCAAUAGAUGAUUCCUCCUAAACGAGAGAUGAGAGUUUCAAGGAGUGAAUCUUGUUAGUUAAUGUUAGAUUUGUAACUAGAAUUGUAACAUUUUCUGAUUCUUUUUUUUUCGUUAAAUUGAUGGUUAUUUAAACAAUGUUAGCUUGUCAACAAGGCUGAAGAAGUAUAAUGUACAAAAACCUAGUUUAAC
Eutrema salsugineum is the source of this 443-nucleotide long non-coding RNA. RefSeq lists it as uncharacterized. The record is from RefSeq and is a predicted model, not a curated record. Lineage: Eukaryota; Viridiplantae; Streptophyta; Magnoliopsida; Brassicales; Brassicaceae. The transcript has 3 exons.